This 841-nucleotide ribosomal RNA is filed under the name uncultured archaeon. RNAcentral's name for it is "bacterial SSU rRNA". It matches the Rfam family "Archaeal small subunit ribosomal RNA", at positions 31 to 878 of the family's 1478-position model. The record is from RNAcentral.
UAUUGAGGUUCGACUAAGCCAUGCGAGUCGAAUGUAGCAAUACAUGGCGUACUGCUCAGUAACACGUGGACAACCUACCCUCCGGACGGGUAUAAACCCGGGAAACUGGGUAUAAUCCCCGAUAGAUCUCGGUCGCUGGAAUGCCCCGAGAUCGAAAGCUCCGGCGCCAGAGGAUGGGUCUGCGGCCUAUCAGGUAGUAGUGGGUGUAGCGUACCUACUAGCCUACGACGGGUACGGGUUGUGAGAGCAAGAGCCCGGAGAUGGAUUCUGAGACACGAAUCCAGGCCCUACGGGGUGCAGCAGGCGCGAAAACUUUACAAUGCCGGCAACGGCGAUAAGGGGACCUCGAGUGCCAGGUUACAAAUCUGGCUGUCGUGAUGCCUAAAAAGCAUUGCAUAGCAAGGGCCGGGCAAGACCGGUGCCAGCCGCCGCGGUAACACCGGCGGCUCGAGUGGUAACCGUUAUUAUUGGGUCUAAAGGGUCUGUAGCCGGCCGGAUAAGUCUCUUGAGAAAUCCAGCAGCUCAACUGUUGGGCUUUCGGGAGAUACUGUUCGGCUCGAGGCCGGGAGAGGUGAGAGGUACUUCAGGGGUAGGGGUGAAAUCUUGUAAUCCUUGAAGGACCACCAGUGGCGAAGGCGUCUCACCAGAACGGACCUGACGGCAAGGGACGAAAGCUAGGGGCACGAACCGGAUUAGAUACCCGGGUAGUCCUAGCCGUAAACGAUACUCGCUAGGUGUCGGCCACGGUGCGACCGUUGUCGGUGCCGUAGGGAAGCCGUGAAGCGAGCCACCUGGGAAGUACGGCCGCAAGGCUGAACUUAAAGGAAUUGGCGGGGGAGCA